Molecule: ribosomal RNA, 477 nt
Filed under: uncultured bacterium
Lineage: Bacteria
Description: partial 16S ribosomal RNA
Rfam family: Bacterial small subunit ribosomal RNA
Source: RNAcentral
GAUGAACGCUGGCGGCGUGCCUAACACAUGCAAGUCGAGCGAAGCGCCUUACCGGAUUCUUCGGAUGAAGGUCUGGUGACUGAGUGGCGGACGGGUGAGUAACGCGUGGGUGACCUGCCCUGUAGAGGGGGAUAACAGCUGGAAACGGCUGCUAAUACCGCAUAAGCGCACGAGGAGACAUCUCCUUGUGUGAAAAACUCCGGUGGUACAGGAUGGGCCCGCGUCUGAUUAGCUGGUUGGCAGGGUAACGGCCUACCAAGGCAACGAUCAGUAGCCGGUCUGAGAGGAUGAACCGCCACAUUUGAACUGAGCCACGGUCCAAACUCCUACGGGAUGCAGCAGUGGCGAAUAUUGCACAAUGGGGGAAGUCCUGAUGCAGCAACGCCGCGUGAGUGAAGAAGUAUUUCGGUAUGUAAAGCUCUAUAAGCAGGGAAGAUAAUGACGGUACCUGACGAAGAAGCUCCGGCUAAAUACGUG